RNAcentral lists this long non-coding RNA (806 nucleotides) under Ananas comosus (pineapple). RNAcentral describes it as "long non-coding RNA (ACOM_LNC017374)". The record is from RNAcentral. Lineage: Eukaryota; Viridiplantae; Streptophyta; Magnoliopsida; Poales; Bromeliaceae.
UUAAGCAUGAAUGAAAUAGUAAACUUCUUCCCCAAUUCCCUCAUCUCUUCUCACCUCAGCCGCUUUCUCUAUCCCUAUCCCCACUCUUACCUUUUCUCUAUCUCUAUCCCUUCUCUUCCUCUUCUCUUACCUCAAAUCCUUCUCAAUUUCUUUACCCAACUUACUGAAUUGGCAAUCGUAGUAUACCCAUCAUCCAAGUCGCCUUACGCACCUCAGCAAGUUCUCAUCCUUGGUGGUUGCGACGAGUCCGGGAUACUACACCAACCUCCACUGUGGCCGCCAUCACCGCCAUGACCGCUGCCGUCGUGGUCCACACCGACGGCGCUGCCGCGACCACUGCUGUCACAGCCCAAGCCAUUGCCGCCUCUGUCGAAACCCCAUUUUGAUGAGAGAGAGAGAGAAGAGAAGGGGCAUAGCAGAGAGAGAAAGAGAAUGGAGAGAAAGAGAGAAAGAUUAUGGGAGAGGGGGACAGAGGAGGGUACAGCUGGAAGAGAAGAGAGAGUGAAAGGAGAUGAGAGGGGGUAGAGAGAGAGAGAGAGGAGAGAGAGAGAGGGGGUAGAGAGAGGGAGGGGAAUAUCUGGAGAGGAAGAAAGAGAGAGAGGAGGAGAGAGGGGGUUAGAGGCGGGGGCUAGCUGUACCUUAGCAGGGAAGAGAGAGAGAAAGAGAGGAGGAGAAAUGGGGAGAGAGAGCUUGUAUGAAGCUGCCACGUGGAAACAGCAAAGGAAAACGCGACACGUGUAUGGUAGAACUGUCAAAUUAAAUAGAGUAAGAUAUAUAGAGAGAGACCGACCGUCCCUAGAGCAAGU